RNAcentral lists this transfer RNA (71 nucleotides) under Nematostella vectensis (starlet sea anemone). It matches the Rfam family "tRNA". Rfam says of the family: Transfer RNA (tRNA) molecules are approximately 80 nucleotides in length. The record is from Rfam by way of RNAcentral. Lineage: Eukaryota; Metazoa; Cnidaria; Anthozoa; Actiniaria; Edwardsiidae.
GGGGAUGUAGCUCAGUGGUAGAUUUUCCGCUUUGCAUGCGGAAGGACCGGUGUUCGAUCCCCGCAUCUCAA